RNAcentral lists this ribosomal RNA (433 nucleotides) under uncultured bacterium. RNAcentral's name for it is "partial 16S ribosomal RNA". It matches the Rfam family "Bacterial small subunit ribosomal RNA", at positions 29 to 507 of the family's 1533-position model. The record is from RNAcentral.
AACGAACGCUGGCGGCAUGCCUAACACAUGCAAGUCGAACGAGCCCUUCGGGGUUAGUGGCGCACGGGUGCGUAACGCGUGGGAAUCUGCCCUUUGCUUCGGAAUAACUCAGGGAAACUUGUGCUAAUACCGGAUGAUGUCUUCGGACCAAAGAUUUAUCGGCAAGGGAUGAGCCCGCGUAGGAUUAGGUAGUUGGUGGGGUAAAGGCCUACCAAGCCGACGAUCCUUAGCUGGUCUGAGAGGAUGAUCAGCCACACUGGGACUGAGACACGGCCCAGACUCCUACGGGAGGCAGCAGUGGGGAAUAUUGGACAAUGGGCGCAAGCCUGAUCCAGCAAUGCCGCGUGAGUGAUGAAGGCCCUCGGGUCGUAAAGCUCUUUUACCAGGGAUGAUAAUGACAGUACCUGGAGAAUAAGCUCCGGCUAACUCCGUG